This 433-nucleotide ribosomal RNA is filed under the name uncultured bacterium. RNAcentral describes it as "partial 16S ribosomal RNA". It matches the Rfam family "Bacterial small subunit ribosomal RNA", at positions 29 to 507 of the family's 1533-position model. The record is from RNAcentral.
AACGAACGCUGGCGGCAUGCCUAACACAUGCAAGUCGAACGAGACCUUCGGGUCUAGUGGCGCACGGGUGCGUAACGCGUGGGAACCUGCCUUUAGGUUCGGAAUAACUCAGAGAAAUUUGAGCUAAUACCGGAUGAUGUCUUCGGACCAAAGAUUUAUCGCCUUUAGAUGGGCCCGCGUUGGAUUAGCUAGUUGGUGGGGUAAAGGCCUACCAAGGCGACGAUCCAUAGCUGGUCUGGGAGGAUGAUCAGCCACACUGGGACUGAGACACGGCCCAGACUCCUACGGGAGGGAGCAGUGGGGAAUAUUGGACAAUGGGCGAAAGCCUGAUCCAGCAAUGCCGCGUGAGUGAUGAAGGCCUUAGGGUUGUAAAGCUCUUUUACCCGAGAUGAUAAUGACAGUAUCGGGAGAAUAAGCUCCGGCUAACUCCGUG